AGAGUUUGAUCAUGGCUCAGAUUGAACGCUGGCGGAAUGCUUACACAUGCAAGUCGAACGGCAGCACGGGGCAACCUGGUGGCGAGUGGCGAACGGGUGAGUAAUACAUCGGAACGUGCCCAAUCGUGGGGGAUAACGUAGCGAAAGUUACGCUAAUACCGCAUACGAUCUACGGAUGAAAGCGGGGGAUCGCAAGACCUCGCGCGAAUGGAGCGGCCGAUGUCAGAUUAGGUAGUUGGUGGGGUAAAGGCUCACCAAGCCAACGAUCUGUAGCUGGUCUGAGAGGACGACCAGCCACACUGGAACUGAGACACGGUCCAGACUCCUACGGGAGGCAGCAGUGGGGAAUUUUGGACAAUGGGCGCAAGCCUGAUCCAGCCAUUCCGCGUGCAGGAUGAAGGCCUUCGGGUUGUAAACUGCUUUUGUACGGAACGAAAAGGUCCUGGUUAAUACCUGGGGCUCAUGACGGUACCGUAAGAAUAAGCACCGGCUAACUACGUG
This 501-nucleotide ribosomal RNA is filed under the name uncultured bacterium. Its description in RNAcentral is "bacterial SSU rRNA". It matches the Rfam family "Bacterial small subunit ribosomal RNA", at positions 8 to 507 of the family's 1533-position model. The record is from RNAcentral.